GGGUAAGUAGGUUGGUCGUGCCACCGGUACGUACUGGUCUCACUGAUUCCUCCUUCCUGAAGAACCGUAAUGCCAUUAAUUUGGUGUUGCGGGGAAACAGGACUGUUACUUUGAAAAAAUUAGAGUGUUUAAAGCAAGCUAACGCUUGAAUACAUUAGCAUGGAAUAAUGAAAUAGGACGAUCGAUCCUAUUUUGUCGGUUUCUAGGAUUGACGUA
RNAcentral lists this ribosomal RNA (216 nucleotides) under Glomeromycotina sp. RNAcentral's name for it is "partial small subunit ribosomal RNA". The stretch from base 40 to 216 matches the Rfam family "Eukaryotic small subunit ribosomal RNA", at positions 686 to 864 of the family's 1831-position model. Lineage: Eukaryota; Fungi; Glomeromycota. The record is from RNAcentral.